GCUUCUUUUUGUAGGUGACCCUAUCUUUCUUUCUGGCUGCCCUUACAAUUUUUUCCUUCUUUUUGACUUUGGAGAAUCUGAAGAUUAUGUGUGUUGGUGUUAAUCUUCUCAUGGAGUAUCUUACUGAGGUUCUCUGAAUUUCCUGAAUUUGAAUGUUGGCUUGUCUUGCUAGGUUGGGGAAGUUCUCCUGGAUAAUAUCUUAAAUCAGGCCCUUCUUCAGUAGGGCUGCUGCAGUUUGCUGGGGUGAACUCCAGACCUGAAUUUCCUGGGUCUCUCCUGCACCCGGAGAUGUCACCAGUGGAGGCUGCAGAAGAGAAAAGAUGACUGCCUCUUCUUCUGGGAUCUCUGUCCCACAGGGACUCUGACCUGGUGCUGGUGGAAAUGCUUCUAUACAAGGUCACGCCAAAUGCCUAGUCAACCCUAAUGAGAGAACCUAGAUACCUCACCUGCCGAUGCAGCAUUCACUUGCCAUUUUCUUUCUUCUUGGUGGGCGUUUCCGACCAUAGCUGUUUCUAGUUGGCCAUCUUGGCACCCCACCUCUUAAUACUGUCACAAUUACAAUAGAAUUUGAACAUGAGUCUUGAUACGAAUAUUCAAACCAUAACAUCCAGUCUACUGAAGAGGCCAUUAAAGUCACUGACCAUUUGGAAGACCAAGGCGGGAAGAUUACUUGAGGUCAGGAGUUCGAGGCCAGCCUGGCCAACAUGGUGAAACCCUGUCUCUACCAAAAAUACAACACUUAGCCAGGUGUGUUGGCACAUGCCUGUAGUCACAACUACUCGGGAGGCUGAGGCAGGAGAAUCGCUUGAACCCAGAAGGCGGAGGUUGCAGUGAGCAGAGAUGGUGCCACUGCACAACAGCCUUUUUAGACUCUGUCUCAAAAAAAGAAAAAAGAAAAAAGUUACUUAUCAUGAUAGUUCAAGAUGAUGCUUUGUCUUGGAUACUUUUACACAUGUAAAGUCAAAUGAGAGAAUUUAAGUUAUUUGGGGAAUUAUUUUAAAAGCCAUAUUGUUCCCCUUAUCAAAUACUCCUAAAACCUACUAAAACCUAAGUGCCACUUUCUUAGAUUUUCCAGAACACUCUAAGCAUUUAUAACAGUAGUUAGUACAACGUUCUGUAAAUAUUGGUUUAGGGGUUAGUCUCUUCAGUUUAGUAACAUUUCAUUAACCACCAUGAAUGGCAUAGUGUAUAUUUUUCAUUUGUAUUCCAC
RNAcentral lists this long non-coding RNA (1210 nucleotides) under Homo sapiens (human). Its description in RNAcentral is "HSALNT0078005". Lineage: Eukaryota; Metazoa; Chordata; Mammalia; Primates; Hominidae. The record is from RNAcentral.